ACGAGUUUGAUCAUGGCUCAGAGCGAACGCUAGCGGCGAGCUUAACACAUGCAAGUCGAGCGGAGGGUUUCGGCCCUCAGCGGCGGACGGGUGAGUAACACGUAGGUUACGUGCCCUUUGGUGGGGAAUAACUUAGGGAAACCUGAGCUAAUACCGCAUAUGCCCUUCGGGGUGAAAGUCUUCGGACGCCAGAGGAUCGGCCUGCGGCCCAUUAUUUAAUCCUUGUUGGUGGGGUAACGGCCUACCAAGGGUACGAUGGGUAGCUGGUCUGAGAGGAUGAUCAGCCACACUGGGACUGAGACACGGCCCAGACUCCUACGGGAGGCAGCAGUGGGGAAUAUUGGACAAUGGGGGAAACCCUGAUCCAGCUACGCCGCGUGGGUGAUGAAGGCCUUCGGGUUGUAAAGCCCUGUCGAGGGGGACGAAGUUCUGACGGUACCCCUCAAGAAAGCACCGGCUAACUCCGUG
This 468-nucleotide ribosomal RNA is filed under the name uncultured bacterium. RNAcentral's name for it is "bacterial SSU rRNA". It matches the Rfam family "Bacterial small subunit ribosomal RNA", at positions 1 to 507 of the family's 1533-position model. The record is from RNAcentral.